AACGUAGGUGGCAAGCGUUAUCCGGAUUUACUGGGCGUAAAGGGCUCGCAGGCGGCCUGUCAGGUCGGCUGUGAAAUCUCCCGGCUCAACUGGGAGGGGGCGGCCGAAACCGGCAAGCUUGAGGGCCAGAGAGGGACACGGAAUUCCCGGAGUAGUGGUAAAAUGCGUUGAGAUCGGGAGGAACGCCAGUGGCGAAAGCGGUGUCCUGGCUGGAACCUGACGCUGAGGAGCGAAAGCGUGGGGAGCGAACGGG
Molecule: ribosomal RNA, 253 nt
Filed under: uncultured bacterium
Lineage: Bacteria
Description: partial 16S ribosomal RNA
Rfam family: Bacterial small subunit ribosomal RNA
Source: RNAcentral